GCUCCUCCUUUUCGCUCGCAGCCCUGGCGUCGCCGUGUCUCCCGCAUCCCGGCCCCCUCCCGCCGAGAGGCACCGUCCCGGGGGAUGCCGCCCGCACCGCCGGCCCCAGAGGCAACUACCACCAUAGGUGCAUUGCCCAUAUUGAUCUGAUCUCUUCCUUGAGAAUGAAGAAUUCAUCCAUACUGGAUACGGUCUCACCUGGAAGGACUGUAUGGGAUUAAACUCGGGAUCCUUAUACGGAUUCAGAAUAACCCAGAUGAAACAUUAGAACAUGGCAAAAAACAGAUGGGAAUUCCAGAGUUAAUGUCACCUCAUUCUUAAAGAAUAUUGCAUAGAACAUGCCAGCAGCAAAGGCUUGGAUUCAAUCUAGAUUUUGAAGCUCACUCUACUAAGACAAUAAACUAUUGAUAGUUCAAAGGAGGGCAGUGAUUUCAAUAGCAGAACAUGAAGGCACAAGGAAAGCAGAGCCUGGCUGGUGGAGUCCUGGACCUGAGAGGGACUUAAGGCCAAGCAGGUAAGAAGGAUCACCUGUGGCUAAGCCAUUGCUGGAAGAUGUUUGUCCGAUCUGCUGCUGGUUCUUGAAUACUGAACAAACACAUGGAAAGAGGCUGUGAGCUUCAGGAAGUUGUUUGUAUAAUUUGCUGCUUGUAUGGCAGUGCUGGGAAAUGUGGCAGAGUGCAUGUAGACAAAGAUAACCACUCGCAGCCUGUUACAGUGCUGCUGACUGAGUACUGUUCAGUGAUGGCAGAACGUGUCCUUGGAAAAGGUAUGAGGAGGAUCUGAUGCAAUACCUGGCAGCUACAAGGAGUCCCAGGAGGAGCACUCCCAAUUAGUGGCUUUCCUCAUGGGCAGUUUGAAGCAUUCCCUGUGGGCCUGCUGUAUGAGUGCUUACACUGCAGCUGGCAACACACCGUACUACUGCAAACCCUGUGCUGCUGCAGCUUGGCUGCUCCCAUUUGCCUGAAGUACGUCAAAUUAUUUCUAAUGACUGCCAUCAUGCAUUUACAGACCUUCUGUGCUGACCAGGCUGCUGAUUUGAAAUGGGCUGGCUGCUUCUUUCUUCUAAAAGGGGUGUCCCAUGUUUGCCAGCUAUGGAGUGCUCCUACCAGUGGAUUACAUCCAGCAAGAGUUCACCUCCUUCUGCAGACAGGAAGAUGUGGAACAUAUUGCUUUAGCAAAAUAAGCUUUACCCAUGGCACUAAUGCAUGUGCAUAUACUAAGGCUGCGUGUGUAUGUAUGCAUCUACUACAAGAAUCUGGCAGAUAGCCAACUUACAAACUGAUUGACUGUUACCUGCAAGAGUGUGCUGGUACCUGGAAGACCUCUCCAAACAUGAGGGAACUGGAAAAAAUGUUUUUUGAUGUUCUUUAGGUAGGGAAAUACCUAUUUAAGCAGUUAGGGCAGUCGAACAGAGCUAUGAAAUGGAUGGAUCUAUGAAAAUCUUAAAAAUUAUCGGGGAAAAUGGAGGCUAGUUAGCUCUUUCUCUACUGAUAGGUCUUUCAAAUGAAAUCAUAUUUAACCCACUCCUCUCAGCUAUGAUCUCACAACUAUUAUUUAAGCACAGUCAUAUAAAAAUACCAUCUCUUUUUCCAGCAAGAAACAAAAGGUUUGUCUGUAGCUUCUCCCCUGAGUCUUGGUGACCCCCUGGGCUAGUGUGGUCAAGACUCCCUUAUGUGCUGUUGGCUAACGCAACAGGCACGACAUAGCAGCCUCCAAUUCCUAACCUCUGAAUCCCUAUCCCGAAGAGGUAGAUAACUUAUGGUUCAGUUGGCAGGGUGCAGUCUUCAGCAGCGCUUGAACACUACUUUAAUUCAUGCCCCAUGAGCUAUAACAGACGUGCCACUGCAUCCCUAAGAAACAUACACGGAUCAUAAAUAAGGUUGGAUGCUAUUUUAAGUAAUAAACAUUGAGAUACAG
Molecule: long non-coding RNA, 1917 nt
Filed under: Gallus gallus (chicken)
Lineage: Eukaryota; Metazoa; Chordata; Aves; Galliformes; Phasianidae
Description: lncRNA (ENSGALG00010007191.1)
Source: RNAcentral